This 925-nucleotide long non-coding RNA is filed under the name Mytilus galloprovincialis (Mediterranean mussel). The record is from RNAcentral. Lineage: Eukaryota; Metazoa; Mollusca; Bivalvia; Mytilida; Mytilidae.
CAAAAUUUAUAAGUUACGACAUGUCGCAACUAACAAUUUAAUAAAAAUAAUUUGUCGAAAUCUUAUAAAGUUAAUGAAAAUAAGUGAAAAUAAGCCAAUAUCAAAAUUUAGAAUUUGACCUUGACCUUUGACCUUGACCUAAUUUUCAUUUUUUUGGAUCAAGGAUCUUAAAUCAAAAGACCCUAGGUCUCUAUCACUUAUGGUUUACCAGUUAGAAAUGCAUAUCACUUAUAUCAUAUAUAAAAGGGGGGAUAACUCUCAUAUGGAGUGUCCAGAUAGCUUCGGUCAAAAUGAAACAGAACAUUCUGAGGAUAUAACGAGCAAUUUGGAAAAAUAAAUUUGUCGGUUUCUUUUACGGUUGCGAAUAUUAAGCGAUAACAAGAAAAACAGUAUUUGGGGAGAUAACUCUUACAUUGAAAAGAUUUUGGUUACACAAUAUGAGUCACAAAAGCGUAAUAACUGUUCGAUAUCAUAUACCAUAUGUCUAAGCGACAUCUUUCGAAACAAAAAAACUGAUAAUAAUUAAAAACCAAUUGUUCAGAGAACAAUUGAAGGUCUUUCAACCAAUAAGGAUCUAUUUAGAUAUGAAAAUAUUAAAAUUCAGUUGAAAAUGUCAGUUCCUAUGGCUUAAUGAUGUAUAAAUAUGAAUUUCAAGCAAAGGUCAAAAUCUAGAACGUCCAAUUAACCUAUGACCUUGACCUCAAUUUCAAGGUCAUAAACCAAGGAUCCCAAAUCAAAAGACCCUUGGUCUGUAUUAUGUAUGGUUCAUGAGUAAUAUCACUUUACGCAUAAUUCUAAAUGUAAGAGGGGCGAAAACUCCCAUUUAUUGUCUACGCACCCUUGCAACCAAAAUUUAUAAGUAACGACAUGUCGCAACUAACAAUUUAGUAAAAAUAAUUUGUCGAUAUCUUAUAAGGUUAAUGAA